Molecule: ribosomal RNA, 207 nt
Filed under: uncultured bacterium
Lineage: Bacteria
Description: partial 16S ribosomal RNA
Rfam family: Bacterial small subunit ribosomal RNA
Source: RNAcentral
CGCGUAGGCGGCCUGCUAAGUCGAACGUGAAAUCCCUGGGCUCAACCCAGGAACUGCGUCCGAUACUGGUUGGCUUGAAUCCGGGAGAGGGAUGCGGAAUUCCAGGUGUAGCGGUGAAAUGCGUAGAUAUCUGGAGGAACACCGGUGGCGAAGGCGGCAUCCUGGACCGGCAUUGACGCUGAGGCGCGAAAGCCAGGGGAGCAAACG